UACGUAGGGGGCGAGCGUUGUCCGAAGUUACUGGGCGUAAAGCGCACGUAGGCGGACUCUUAAGUCGGUGGUGAAAUCCUGGAGCUCAACUCCAGAACUGCCUUCGAUACUGAGAGUCUCGAGUCCGGGAGAGGUGAGUGGAACUGCGAGUGUAGAGGUGAAAUUCGUAGAUAUUCGCAAGAACACCAGUGGCGAAGGCGGCUCACUGGCCCGGUACUGACGCUGAGGUGCGAAAGCGUGGGGAGCAAACAGG
RNAcentral lists this ribosomal RNA (253 nucleotides) under uncultured bacterium. RNAcentral describes it as "partial 16S ribosomal RNA". It matches the Rfam family "Bacterial small subunit ribosomal RNA", at positions 524 to 776 of the family's 1533-position model. The record is from RNAcentral.